CAACAGGAUCCUUCUGCACACGUUUAUUGG
RNAcentral lists this non-coding RNA (30 nucleotides) under Mus musculus (house mouse). The record is from RNAcentral. Lineage: Eukaryota; Metazoa; Chordata; Mammalia; Rodentia; Muridae.